Molecule: ribosomal RNA, 557 nt
Filed under: uncultured bacterium
Lineage: Bacteria
Description: bacterial SSU rRNA
Rfam family: Bacterial small subunit ribosomal RNA
Source: RNAcentral
ACGGGUGAGUAACGCGUGGGAAUCUACCGUGCCCUGCGGAAUAGCUCCGGGAAACUGGAAUUAAUACCGCAUACGCCCUACGGGGGAAAGAUUUAUCGGGGUAUGAUGAGCCCGCGUUGGAUUAGCUAGCUGGUGGGGUAAAGGCCUACCAAGGCGACGAUCCAUAGCUGGUCUGAGAGGAUGAUCAGCCACAUUGGGACUGAGACACGGCCCAAACUCCUACGGGAGGCAGCAGUGGGGAAUAUUGGACAAUGGGCGCAAGCCUGAUCCAGCCAUGCCGCGUGAGUGAUGAAGGCCUUAGGGUUGUAAAGCUCUUUCACCGGAGAAGAUAAUGACGGUAUCCGGAGAAGAAGCCCCGGCUAACUUCGUGCCAGCAGCCGCGGUAAUACGAAGGGGGCUAGCGUUGUUCGGAAUUACUGGGCGUAAAGCGCACGUAGGCGGAUAUUUAAGUCAGGGGUGAAAUCCCAGAGCUCAACUCUGGAACUGCCUUUGAUACUGGGUAUCUUGAGUAUGGAAGAGGUAAGUGGAAUUCCGAGUGUAGAGGUGAAAUUCGUAGA